UAAAACAAAAUAGGAACUUUUUAUAUUAUUGAGUUCUAGUGUAAAAAGAAGUGGAAAUGAAAUUUUGCCCAGAAGACGACAAUUUAAGGAGCGGUGAAAACGCAUCCUUUACAACAUUAGGCCAACCAGCGAGUGUGGAUCAAAUCCCACAGAACCAUUUAAACGAGUCGCCAUAUGUUCUAAAUAACGAAGCUUUAAGUUUGGAAAGUUCGUUAACAACAGGAGACUUAAAUUCUGUGAAGGUAAAUAU
This is a non-coding RNA of Ciona intestinalis (vase tunicate), 250 nucleotides long. Lineage: Eukaryota; Metazoa; Chordata; Ascidiacea; Phlebobranchia; Cionidae. The record is from RefSeq and is a predicted model, not a curated record.